Molecule: long non-coding RNA, 1056 nt
Filed under: Piliocolobus tephrosceles (Ugandan red Colobus)
Lineage: Eukaryota; Metazoa; Chordata; Mammalia; Primates; Cercopithecidae
Description: lncRNA (ENSPTEG00000037044.1)
Source: RNAcentral
AUGCUGCUCCCCGGACUCCACCUGCCUUUCCUCCUCGUGACAGAAGACAGCGGAAGCCUACUGGGUGGAAGGCAUGGGCUUAGGAUGUGUGUGGGAGGAAAGUGUGUGUGCUGGGGAACAUGUAUGUUUGGGGGUUGUGUGUGUUGGAAAUCGUGUGUUGGGGAUUGUGUGUAUAUUGCAGAUUGUGUAUGUGUGUUGGGGAUUGUGGUGUGUGUGUGUUAUAGAUUGUAUGUUGGGAAUUGUGUAUUUGUUGGGGAUUGUGUAUUUGUUGGGGAUUGUGUGUGUGUUGGGAAGUGUGUGUGUGUGUGUUGGGGAUUAUGUGCAUGUUGGAGUUGUGUGUGUGUUAGGGAUUAUGUGUGUUGGAAAUUAUGUGUGUUGGGAAUUGUAUGUGUUGAGAAUUAUGGGGAUUGUAUGUGUUUGGGUUUGUGUGUGUGUUGGCGAUUAUGUGCAUGUUGGGAUUGUGUGUAUGUGUUGGGGAUUGUGAGGGGGAGAUUCUGUGUGUGUGCUGGGGAUUGUGUGUGUUUGGGUUUGUGUGUGUGCUGGGGAUUGUGUGUGCUGAGGAUUGUGUGCAUUUGGGUCUGUGUGUGUGCUGGGGACUGUGUGUGUGUGUGUGUUGGGGAUUCUGUGGAUGUGUUGGGGAUUCUGUGCAUGCUAGGAGUUUUGUGUGUGUUGGGGAUUAUGUGUGUGUUGAGGAUUGUGUGUGUUCUUGGGAUUGUAUGUGUUGGGAAUUUUGUGUGUGUGUUGAGGAUUGCGUGUGCUGGGGANNNNNNNNNNAAAUUGUGUGUUGGGGAUUGUGUGUGUUGGGAAUUUUGUGUGUGUGUGGAGGAUUGUGUGCAGGGGGGAUUAUGUGUGUUGGAGAUUGUGUGUGUUGGGAAUUUUGUGUGUGCGUUGCAGAUUGUGUGCGGGGGGAUUGUGUGUGUUGGAGACUGUGUAUUGGGAACUGUAUAUGUGUUGAGGAUUGUGUGUGUUUGGGAUUUUGUGUGUGCUGGGGACUGUGUGUGUUGGGGACAGUGUAUGUGUUUGGCGGAGGGUGUUGAUAAGCGGUCUGGAGGGUGA